RNAcentral lists this ribosomal RNA (171 nucleotides) under uncultured bacterium. Its description in RNAcentral is "partial 16S ribosomal RNA". The stretch from base 1 to 77 matches the Rfam family "Bacterial small subunit ribosomal RNA", at positions 796 to 873 of the family's 1533-position model. The record is from RNAcentral.
CACGCCGUAAACGAUGGAUGCUAGCCGUUGGGGAGCUUGCUCUUCAGUGGCGCAGCUAACGCUUUAAGCAUCCCGCCUGGGGAGUNCGCGCAGAACCUUACCAGCUUUUGACAUGUCCGGUAUGGUCGACAGAGAUGUCUUCCUUCCCGCAAGGGGCCGGAACACAGGUGC